UGCAGUCGANCGGUAACAGGAAGAAGCUUGCUUCUUUGCUGACGAGUGGCGGACGGGUGAGUAAUGCUUGGGAAUUUGCCUUGAGGUGGGGGACAACAGUUGGAAACGACUGCUAAUACCGCAUAAUUGCUACGGCACAAAGGGGGCUUCGGCUCUCGCCUUUAGAGAAGCCCAAGUGGGAUUAGAUAGUUGGUGGGGUAACGGCCUACCAAGUCAACGAUCCCUAGCUGGUCUGAGAGGAUGAUCAGCCACACUGGAACUGAGACACGGUCCAGACUCCUACGGGAGGCAGCAGUGGGGAAUAUUGCACAAUGGGGGAAACCCUGAUGCAGCCAUGCCGCGUGUGUGAAGAAGGCCUUCGGGUUGUGAAGCACUUUCAGCGAGGAGGAAGGGUUAGUAGUUAAUACCUGCUAGCUUUGACGUUACUCGCAGAAGAAGCACCGGCUAACUCCGUGCCAGCAGCCGCGGUAAUACGGAGGGUGCGAGCGUUAAUCGGAAUUACUGGGCGUAAAGCGUACGCAGGCGGUCAUUUAAGUCAGAUGUGAAAGCCCCGGGCUCAACCUGGGAACUGCAUUUGAAACCGGAUGACUAGAGUGCGACAGAGGGUAGUAGAAUUUCAGGUGUAGCGGUGAAAUGCGUAGAGAUCUGAAGGAAUACCGAUGGCGAAGGCAGCCACCUGGGUCGACACUGACGCUCAUGUACGAAAGCGUGGGUAGCAAACAGGAUUAGAUACCCUGGUAGUCCACGCCGUAAACGAUGUCUACUAGCAGCUCGCCUCGUUUAGAGGGGUUUUGCGCAGCUAACGCGUUAAGUANACCGCCUGGGGAGUANNNCCGCAAGGUUAAAACUCAAAUGAAUUGACGGGGGCCCGCACAAGCGGUGGANCAUGUNGUUUAAUUCGA
This 902-nucleotide ribosomal RNA is filed under the name uncultured bacterium. RNAcentral describes it as "bacterial SSU rRNA". It matches the Rfam family "Bacterial small subunit ribosomal RNA", at positions 56 to 954 of the family's 1533-position model. The record is from RNAcentral.